RNAcentral lists this ribosomal RNA (345 nucleotides) under uncultured eukaryote. RNAcentral describes it as "partial 18S ribosomal RNA". It matches the Rfam family "Eukaryotic small subunit ribosomal RNA", at positions 1470 to 1796 of the family's 1831-position model. The record is from RNAcentral.
CCCUUAGAUGUCCUGGGCCGCACGCGUGCUACACUGAUACGUACAACAAGUAUCUUCUUGCUGCUCCGAAAUAGAUAAUCAACUUGGCUAAAUCUCCAAUACGUAUCGUGCUGCGGAUAGAUCGUUGAUAAAUAAUUAUGAAUCUUGAAGGAGGAAUUCCUAGUAAGCGCAGGUCAUCAGCCUGCGUUGAUUACGUCCCUGCCCUUUGUACACACCGCCCGUCGCUCCUACCGAUUGAAUGAUCCGGUGAGGCCCCCGGAUUGUGGCCGCGGCUCUGGUUCGCUAGACUGCGGCUGCGAGAAGCUGUCCAAACCUUAUCAUUUAGAGGAAGGAGAAGUCGUNACA